GACGAACGCUGGCGGCGUGCUUAACACAUGCAAGUCGAACGGUGAAGCGCCUUCCUUUUUGGUGGGUGUGGAUGAGUGGCGAACGGGUGAGUAACACGUGAGUAACCUGCCCCCUUCUUCUGGAUAACCGCAUGAAAGUGUGGCUAAUACGGGAUAUUCUGGGUCUGUCGCAUGAUGGGUCUGGGAAAGAUAUUGUUUCGGUGGGGGAUGGGCUCGCGGCCUAUCAGCUUGUUGGUGGGGUGAUGGCCUACCAAGGCGGUGACGGGUAGCCGGCCUGAGAGGGUGGCCGGGCCCACUGGGGAUGAGACCCGGGCCAGACUGCUACGGGAGGCAGCAGGGGGGAAUAUUGGACAAUGGGCGGAAGGAUGAUGCAGCGACGCCGCGGGAGGGAUGGAGGCCUUCGGGUUGUGAACCUCUUUCGCCAGUGAAGCAGGCCUGCCUCGUUUGUGGGUGGGUUGACGGUAGCUGGAUAAGAAGCGCCGGCUAACUACGUG
RNAcentral lists this ribosomal RNA (494 nucleotides) under uncultured bacterium. RNAcentral describes it as "partial 16S ribosomal RNA". It matches the Rfam family "Bacterial small subunit ribosomal RNA", at positions 28 to 507 of the family's 1533-position model. The record is from RNAcentral.